UACGAAGGGGGCUAGCGUUGCUCGGAAUUACUGGGCGUAAAGGGCUCGUAGGCGGCCAACUAAGUCGGACGUGAAAUCCCUCAGCUUAACUGGGGAACUGCGUCUGAUACUGGAUGGCUUGGAUUUGGGAGAGGGAUGCGGAAUUCCAGGUGUAGCGGUGAAAUGCGUAGAUAUCUGGAGGAACACCGGUGGCGAAGGCGGCAUCCUGGACCAACAUUGACGCUGAGGAGCGAAAGCCAGGGGAGCAAACGGG
Molecule: ribosomal RNA, 253 nt
Filed under: uncultured bacterium
Lineage: Bacteria
Description: partial 16S ribosomal RNA
Rfam family: Bacterial small subunit ribosomal RNA
Source: RNAcentral